Molecule: ribosomal RNA, 324 nt
Filed under: uncultured eukaryote
Lineage: Eukaryota
Description: partial 18S ribosomal RNA
Rfam family: Eukaryotic small subunit ribosomal RNA
Source: RNAcentral
CCCUUAGAUGUUCUGGGCCGCACGCGUGCUACACUGAAGCUAUCAACACGUUUUCCCUCCCUGAGAAGGGCGGGUAACCUUUUGAAUCAGCUUCGUGGUAGGGAUCGGGGCUUGCAAUUGUUCCCCGUGAACCAGGAAUUCCUAGUAGACGCGAGUCAUAAGCUCGCAUCGAUUAAGUCCCUGCCCUUUGUACACACCGCCCGUCGCUACUACCGAUUGAACGUUUUAGUGAGUCAUUUGGACCGACGCAUCUCAGUUUAACCGCUGGUUUGUGUUGGAAAGACUUCCAAACUUGAGCGUUUAGAGGAAGUAAAAGUCGUAACA